UGAGUCAGCCAGACAAUCGCUGUUUUGAUGGAGGAAAGUCCGGGCUCCAUAGGGUAAGGCGCCAGGUAACGCCUGGGGAGUGUGAACUCACGGCCAGUGCCACAGAAAAUAUACCGCCUGAUCGAAACAUUAGGUAAGGGUGAAAUGGUGUGGUAAGAGCGCACCGCGCGCUUGGUAACAAGUGUGGCAGGGUAAACCCCGCCUGGAGCAAAGCUAAAUAGGGAUCCUAUGAUGUGACCCGCAUCGGAUCCGGGUAAGCUGCUAGAGAUGUAUGGCGACAUGCGUCCCAGAUGAAUGAUUGUCCACGACAGAACCCGGCUUACCGGCUGACUCAUUCU
RNAcentral lists this RNase P RNA (338 nucleotides) under Legionellales bacterium. Its description in RNAcentral is "RNase P RNA component class A". It matches the Rfam family "Bacterial RNase P class A". From Rfam's summary of the family: Ribonuclease P (RNase P) is a ubiquitous endoribonuclease, found in archaea, bacteria and eukarya as well as chloroplasts and mitochondria. Its best characterised activity is the generation of mature 5'-ends of tRNAs by cleaving the 5'-leader elements of precursor-tRNAs. The record is from RNAcentral. Lineage: Bacteria; Pseudomonadati; Pseudomonadota; Gammaproteobacteria; Legionellales.